GGGGUUGUGGCUCAGUGGUAGAGCACUCACCUAGCAUGUGCAAGGCACUGGGUUCAAUUCUCAGCACCA
This 69-nucleotide transfer RNA is filed under the name Ictidomys tridecemlineatus (thirteen-lined ground squirrel). Its description in RNAcentral is "Spermophilus tridecemlineatus (thirteen-lined ground squirrel) tRNA". It matches the Rfam family "tRNA". From Rfam's summary of the family: Transfer RNA (tRNA) molecules are approximately 80 nucleotides in length. Their secondary structure includes four short double-helical elements and three loops (D, anti-codon, and T loops). Lineage: Eukaryota; Metazoa; Chordata; Mammalia; Rodentia; Sciuridae. The record is from Rfam by way of RNAcentral.